GAUGAACGCUAGCUACAGGCUUAACACAUGCAAGUCGAGGGGAAACGACAUCGAAAGCUUGCUUUUGAUGGGCGUCGACCGGCGCACGGGUGAGUAACGCGUAUCCAACCUGCCCAUCACUUGGGGAUAACCUUGCGAAAGUAAGACUAAUACCCAAUGACGUCUCUAGAAGACAUCUGAAAGAGAUUAAAGAUUUAUCGGUGAUGGAUGGGGAUGCGUCUGAUUAGCUUGUUGGCGGGGUAACGGCCCACCAAGGCGACGAUCAGUAGGGGUUCUGAGAGGAAGGUCCCCCCACAUUGGAACUGAGACACGGUCCAAACUCCUACGGGAGGCAGCAGUGAGGAAUAUUGGUCAAUGGGCGAGAGCCUGAACCAGCCAAGUAGCGUGCAGGAUGACGGCCCUAUGGGUUGUAAACUGCUUUUAUAAGGGAAUAAAGUGAGUCUCGUGAGACUUUUUGCAUGUACCUUAUGAAUAAGGACCGGCUAAUUCCGUGCCAGCAGCCGACGG
RNAcentral lists this ribosomal RNA (507 nucleotides) under uncultured bacterium. RNAcentral's name for it is "bacterial SSU rRNA". It matches the Rfam family "Bacterial small subunit ribosomal RNA", at positions 28 to 520 of the family's 1533-position model. The record is from RNAcentral.